UUCCGUAGGUGAACCUGCGGAAGGAUCAUUACUGUGAUUUAGUACUACACUGCGUGAGCGGAACGAAAACAACAACACCUAAAAUGUGGAAUAUAGCAUAUAGUCGACAAGAGAAAUCUACGAAAAACAAACAAAACUUUCAACAACGGAUCUCUUGGUUCUCGCAUCGAUGAAGAGCGCAGCGAAAUGCGAUACCUAGUGUGAAUUGCAGCCAUCGUGAAUCAUCGAGUUCUUGAACGCACAUUGCGCCCCUCGGCAUUCCGGGGGGCAUGCCUGUUUGAGCGUCGUUUCCAUCUUGCGCGUGCGCAGAGUUGGGGGAGCGGAGCGGACGACGUGUAAAGAGCGUCGGAGCUGCGACUCGCCUGAAAGGGAGCGAAGCUGGCCGAGCGAACUAGACUUUUUUUCAGGGACGCUUGGCGGCCGAGAGCGAGUGUUGCGAGACAACAAAAAGCUCGACCUCAAAUCAGGUAGGAAUACCCGCUGAACUUAAGCAUAUCAAUAAGCGGAGGA
Molecule: ribosomal RNA, 510 nt
Filed under: uncultured Pichia
Lineage: Eukaryota; Fungi; Ascomycota; Saccharomycetes; Saccharomycetales; Saccharomycetaceae
Description: eukaryotic LSU rRNA
Rfam family: 5.8S ribosomal RNA (bases 135-287)
Source: RNAcentral